CCUACGGGUGGCAGCAGUGGGGAAUAUUGGACAAUGGGCGAAAGCCUGAUCCAGCCAUGCCGCGUGUGUGAAGAAGGCCUUCGGGUUGUAAAGCACUUUCAGUGGGGAAGAAAGCCUUGGGGCUAAUACCCUCGAGGAAGGACAUCACCCACAGAAGAAGCACCGGCUAACUCCGUGCCAGCAGCCGCGGUAAUACGGAGGGUGCGAGCGUUAAUCGGAAUUACUGGGCGUAAAGCGCGCGUAGGCGGUCUGAUAAGCCGGUUGUGAAAGCCCCGGGCUCGACCUGGGAACGGCAUCCGGAACUGUCAGGCUAGAGGGCAGGAGAGGAAGGUAGAAUUCCCGGUGUAGCGGUGAAAUGCGUAGAGAUCGGUAGGAAUACCAGUGGCGAAGGCGGCCUUCUGGACUGACACUGACGCUGAGGUGCGAAAGCGUGGGUAGCAAACAGGAUUAGAUACCCGUGUAGUC
This 465-nucleotide ribosomal RNA is filed under the name Vreelandella stevensii. RNAcentral's name for it is "partial 16S ribosomal RNA". It matches the Rfam family "Bacterial small subunit ribosomal RNA", at positions 338 to 795 of the family's 1533-position model. The record is from RNAcentral. Lineage: Bacteria; Pseudomonadati; Pseudomonadota; Gammaproteobacteria; Oceanospirillales; Halomonadaceae.